RNAcentral lists this ribosomal RNA (484 nucleotides) under uncultured bacterium. RNAcentral's name for it is "partial 16S ribosomal RNA". It matches the Rfam family "Bacterial small subunit ribosomal RNA", at positions 29 to 507 of the family's 1533-position model. The record is from RNAcentral.
AUUGAACGCUGGCGGAAUGCUUUACACAUGCAAGUCGAACGGCAGCACGGGGGCAGCCCUGGUGGCGAGUGGCGAACGGGUGAGUAAUACAUCGGAACGUGCCCGGACGUGGGGGAUAACGUAGCGAAAGUUACGCUAAUACCGCAUACGAUCUGAGGAUGAAAGCGGGGGACCUUCGGGCCUCGCGCGAUCGGAGCGGCCGAUGUCAGAUUAGGUAGUUGGUGGGGUAAAGGCCUACCAAGCCGACGAUCUGUAGCUGGUCUGAGAGGACGACCAGCCACACUGGGACUGAGACACGGCCCAGACUCCUACGGGAGGCAGCAGUGGGGAAUUUUGGACAAUGGGCGCAAGCCUGAUCCAGCCAUUCCGCGUGCAGGACGAAGGCCUUCGGGUUGUAAACUGCUUUUGUACGGAACGAAAAGGCUCUGGCUAAUACCUGGGGCUCAUGACGGUACCGUAAGAAUAAGCACCGGCUAACUACGUG